This 1932-nucleotide long non-coding RNA is filed under the name Olea europaea subsp. europaea. The record is from RNAcentral. Lineage: Eukaryota; Viridiplantae; Streptophyta; Magnoliopsida; Lamiales; Oleaceae.
GUUCAGAACUGAAAACUAUAUUAUCUAAAAAACUUGGGGAGCUUUCCUUCAUAAAUAGUAACAAAAAACAAAUUAAUUUGGUGUCUCUCAGUCUCUACGGCACACCGCUUACUGCAAACCGUUCUCAAAUUUUCCUUUCAAGGUAUUUGAGCCUUCUCUUUCUUCUUUUGAAUUUAAUUCUGAAUUCGCAAUAAUUUUCUAUUUUAAAUUUUACGAUAGAUCUAUCUGCUCUUGCGCCAUAGUUUUGUGACCUGAUGUGUAGAUCGAUUUUAUAAUUUAUUCCUAUUGUUGAAAGAAAAUUCUAGGGGAGUGUUGAUGAUCUUUCAUUGAUAUUGGAUCUGUUUAAUCAUGUAUCAACUCUCUCAAGAAGUAUUUUGUUACAUUCCAGAAUUCUAUGCUCAAGUCUCCUUGCGAUCUGUUGGCUUCCCCCUAAAUCUUGUGUUUUGGUCCUGCAUAUAAUUUGUUGUUAAGAGAGUUCCCCGUUUUGAUAAUUAUUUGGCUUAUAUUUAUUGGAUUGAGAAUUUAUGUGAUUCACUGUCUGAGUUUCUUUGUUUUUAGACGAAUCGGAUAAAUUCUUCUGUGGAGGUUUCUAAAUGUUGUUUAUUAUAUCCUAAUUCCAAUGAUUUUGGCUCUGUAUCUGUCAUUUUUGUGGUUCGAUUUGCCAUUUUUGUCAAUAAUUUUAUAUGUUAGUGAUAAAAAAUUUUGUACUAUUUAAUUUUAUUUUUAGAAUAUAACGAGAUAAAUUUUGAUAGGGUCUUGUUUCUUGUUCUAACUUUAGAGAUGCAGAUUUUCGUGAAAACCUUGACUGGCAAGACUAUCACCCUCGAAGUGGAAAGCUCGAUACCAUUGACAACAUAAGAAUAAGGAGGGUAUUCCACCCGACCAACAGAGGCUCAUCUUCGUUGGUAAGCAACUUGAGGAUGGCCGUACCUUCGCAGACUACAACAUCCAGAAAGAGUCUACUCUGCACUUGGUACUUAGGUUGAGGGGAUGGAUUCAAAUUUUUGUCAAGGCUUUGACCGGAAAGACUAUCACUUUGGAAGUGGAGAGUUCUGACACCAUUGACAAUGUGAAGGCUAAGAUUCAGGACAAAGAGGGUAUUCCACCAGACCAGCAGCGAUUGAUCUUUGCUGGGAAAUAGCUGGAGGAUGGAAGGACCCUGGCCGACUACAACAUCCAAAUGGAGUCUACCCUCCAUCUUGUCCUCCGUGGUGGUUUUUGAUUUGCAGGUGGUGAUGUGUGGUCUUUGGUGUCGUCUCUACAGUGUCUGUUCCGUGGUUGUUUUAGCCAUUUUUGAAUGGCUUAUUUCAAACUUUAAUAUCUGAUGUUCUUGUUGCUUGUCGUGCCAGUUAUGUUUGUUUUUAAGCAUGGAACUAUGGAAGUUCAUGGGGCUUCCUUCCAUUUAUGAUUAUGAAAGAUCAUUUUUGCACAUUCUCAGUCUGAAUUAGUUUAUACAUUUUUACUUAUUUGUUUGAUGAAUACUAACAGCAUGCAAUAACUGAUGAUUGUUAUUUAUCAUGGAUGGAUUUUGUUCUUAUAAUAUUUCUGAAAGAUGAUUCUGAUUGUGGACUGCUUUUUGUCCUUAUUGUUAAGAUGAUGAUUCUGGGAUGAUUUAAUGGUGGAGAACAGAAGGAAGUGGCAGCAACCAUUCUGGAGUGGUUGAGAUUCUUCAUUCUUGGAUGAUUUUCUUAUUUCCAUUGUAAUUUACUGAUUAUGGCCAUGGUUUUCUCACGUUCUCUAUCAGUAGCCUAAGAAAGUCACCGACUGAUGUAUUUUUUUAGUAUAAAUUGACUCUCUUUUCAGUAUAUAGAUAUAGAUUAAUUUCAAGCUUGUCUAUUGUUCAGUUAAGUUGCACUUUUUUUAACGUUGUUAAGGGAACCAAGAAGUUGUCCAUUGAAACUUACAUGUAAUAUAUACAUGCAUAUAUUGUCG